Molecule: ribosomal RNA, 497 nt
Filed under: uncultured bacterium
Lineage: Bacteria
Description: partial 16S ribosomal RNA
Rfam family: Bacterial small subunit ribosomal RNA
Source: RNAcentral
GAUGAACGCUGGCGGCGUGCCUAAUACAUGCAAGUCGAGCGAACAGACGAGGAGCUUGCUCCUCUGACGUUAGCGGCGGACGGGUGAGUAACACGUGGAUAACCUACCUAUAAGACUGGGAUAACUUCGGGAAACCGGAGCUAAUACCGGAUAAUAUAUUGAACCGCAUGGUUCAAUAGUGAAAGACGGUUUUGCUGUCACUUAUAGAUGGAUCCGCGCCGCAUGAGCUAGUUGGUAAGGUAACGGCUUACCAAGGCAACGAUGCGUAGCCGACCUGAGAGGGUGAUCGGCCACACUGGAAGUGAGACACGGUCCAGACUCCUACGGGAGGCAGCAGUAGGGAAUCUUACGCAAUGGGCGAAAGCGUGACGGAGCAACGCCGCGUGAGUGAUGAAGGUCUUCGGAUCGUAAAACUCUGUUAUUAGGGAAGAACAAAUGUGUAAGUAACUAUGCACGUCUUGACGGUACCUAAUCAGAAAGCCACGGCUAACUACGUG